AAGUCGAACGGUAACAUUUCUAGCUUGCUAGAAGAUGACGAGUGGCGGACGGGUGAGUAAUGCUUGGGAACUUGCCUUUGCGAGGGGGAUAACAGUUGGAAACGACUGCUAAUACCGCAUAAUGUCUUCGGACCAAACGGGGCUUCGGCUCCGGCGCAAAGAGAGGCCCAAGUGAGAUUAGCUAGUUGGUAAGGUAACGGCUUACCAAGGCGACGAUCUCUAGCUGUUCUGAGAGGAAGAUCAGCCACACUGGGACUGAGACACGGCCCAGACUCCUACGGGAGGCAGCAGUGGGGAAUAUUGCACAAUGGGGGAAACCCUGAUGCAGCCAUGCCGCGUGUGUGAAGAAGGCCUUCGGGUUGUAAAGCACUUUCAGCUGUGAGGAAAAGUUAGUAGUUAAUACCUGCUAGCCGUGACGUUAACAACAGAAGAAGCACCGGCUAACUCCGUGCCAGCAGCCGCGGUAAUACGGAGGGUGCGAGCGUUAAUCGGAAUUACUGGGCGUAAAGCGCACGCAGGCGGUUUGUUAAGCUAGAUGUGAAAGCCCUGGGCUCAACCUGGGAUGGUCAUUUAGAACUGGCAGACUAGAGUCUUGGGGAGGGGAGUGGAAUUCCAGGUGUAGCGGUGAAAUGCGUAGAUAUCUGGAGGAACAUCAGUGGCGAAAGCGACUCCCUGGCCAAAGACUGACGCUCAUGUGCGAAAGUGUGGGUAGCGAACAGGAUUAGAUACCCUGGUAGUCCACACCGUAAACGCUGUCUACUAGCUGUGUGUGUCUUUAGACGUGCGUAGCGAAGCUAACGCGCUAAGUAGACCGCCUGGGGAGUAC
Molecule: ribosomal RNA, 826 nt
Filed under: uncultured marine bacterium
Lineage: Bacteria
Description: bacterial SSU rRNA
Rfam family: Bacterial small subunit ribosomal RNA
Source: RNAcentral